Molecule: transfer RNA, 89 nt
Filed under: Gymnostomum calcareum
Lineage: Eukaryota; Viridiplantae; Streptophyta; Bryopsida; Pottiales; Pottiaceae
Description: tRNA-Leu
Rfam family: tRNA
About the family: Transfer RNA (tRNA) molecules are approximately 80 nucleotides in length. Their secondary structure includes four short double-helical elements and three loops (D, anti-codon, and T loops).
Source: RNAcentral
GGGGUAUGGCGGAAUUGGUAGACGCUACGGACUUAAAAUCCGUUGGCUUUAUUGACCGUGAGGGUUCAAGUCCCUCUACCCCCAAAACA